This 1304-nucleotide long non-coding RNA is filed under the name Drosophila melanogaster (fruit fly). Its description in RNAcentral is "antisense RNA:CR45926 (Dmel_CR45926)". Lineage: Eukaryota; Metazoa; Arthropoda; Insecta; Diptera; Drosophilidae. The record is from RNAcentral.
UGGGCGACUGCUUCUUGAUACCGGCUGAUUUGGGGCCCUUUGGUGGCGGUGCAUCGUCGUCGUCGUACUCAUCCUCCUCGUUCUCGUCAUACUCCUCUUCGUCCUCAUCGUCCUCAUCGUCGACGAUGUCGCCAGUGUAGUAAAGCACUGCUUUUGGAAUAAUUCUGGCGCGCAAGAAGUGACCAAUUUCGAAGUCGGUGGCCAGGAUCUGCGAGGAAGCGAACACGGAUGAGCAAGUGGCCUUGCGGAAACUGUUGUUGGGUGAGCUUACCUGCUGGGAGUCGUCGUCGACUUCCUCCUGGUCGCUCGGGACCUCUGGUGGGCUGAAGAAAUUGAAGAAGGAAUCCGUCGGAACCUGCUUCACAAUGGUGCGCACUGCGCCGCGCUCCUUGUGCUUCUGCUUCUUGCGGAUGGUCUUCACAAAAUCCCUUGUUGCCCUCGAGAGUGCAGAUAGCUCACCGUGCACUUGUAGAUCUCUGGGCCUUCAAAUGCGAACGGAUCGUUGGGAUCCACGGUGGACUUCAAAACGUACUGCUUUGUGAGAACUGAGUUGGAGAAGUACUCGUUCUUGUCGAAGUGAAACUCCAAGGUGUACGAAUGCUAAUGAAUAAAGAAGCGGUUUAGACGGGCAGGACUACUAGAACUAUUGGCCAGCAAACUCACCCCGUUGUCGUACUUGAUGGAAAUAUCGAUUAGCUUGCGGAUGGCGGGCUCGUCGUGCGGCUGCACCAUCUCAGACAUUAUGGCCGUGUUGCGGAACACCGUCAGCCAGAAGCCGGGAAUGCCCUUGGCAUCCUUGGGAAUACUUUUCAAACUGCUCAGGGCCUCGCGGAAGUGCUCGGCAUCGGCCUCGUUGUCGGUCGACGACUCCGGUUCCUUCCACUGGGGCUUCUCCUCGGCGGGGUCCACCUUGCCCUCGAUGAUCUCCCUGCGCUUAUCGAACAACGGCUGGUACUGCACCUGGUACUUCUGCUCCAGCUUGUAGACGUCCUCAAAGAACUGGGCCUCGAUAUUCAGGUGCUGCAGCUGUAGGUUUUUCAGGAACACAAUCCGAUUCUGCACUGGAGCCGGCAGCAUCUUGACCAUUUGCUGCAGAUACUGUCGCCGCAUGACCGAGUUCAUGUAGGCGGGCCUGAAAAGUGGGUUGUGUGUGUCAUUCCCCUGAUUUUUUGCUUGCUUUCGCUUGCCAAAAUGUUGCCACCCCCUCUUUCUACUCACAUCGACUGGCAGUCCGAGCCGGACUUCUCGUCCUCGAUUUCGUUGCAGGACUCGGGGUCAACGUGUCCUUCGGCUGGGGCGUCCAU